GCUGAGCACAACGCAGCUCCGCCCUCGCAAAGGCACAGCGCGGGCGCAGGCGCCCAGAGGCGCACAGGAGACCUCAGGCCCAGACUCCACUCCCCAGCUGUGAAAGGACUGCUGGCCAGACCCCCAAGCUAGCCCGCCAGGCCUCCAUAGAGCUGCCCAGCAUGGCUGCAUCCAGUACCAAGAGUUGGUGGGAGACGGGUGAGGUAUAGGCUCAGUCUGCGGCCAAGACUCCGUCCUGCAAGGAUAUUGUGGCUGGAGACAUGAGCAAGAAAAGCCUCUGGGAGCAGAAGGGAGGCUCCAAGACCUCAUCAACAAUUAAGGAUUACCAGGCAUAAAAAGCAGCAGACAAUCAUGAUGCAAACUGAAAAUAAUCAAUCAAAACUGACCCAGAACUUAAAUAGAUGUUAAAAUUAGCAGAGGAGGACAUUAAAACUGUUUUUAUACAUGUAUCUCAUAUAAUCAAAACAUUAAAUAGAGACAUGGGAGAUAAACAAGAAAAGCCAAAAUCAAACUUUCAAAGACAAAAACAUUUGAGAUGAAAAUUACAUUGGAUGAACUAAGGCAGAUUAGAAACUGCAGAAGAAAAGAUUAGCAAACUUGAAGAUACAAGAACAGACA
RNAcentral lists this long non-coding RNA (618 nucleotides) under Homo sapiens (human). RNAcentral describes it as "HSALNT0295213". The record is from RNAcentral. Lineage: Eukaryota; Metazoa; Chordata; Mammalia; Primates; Hominidae.